RNAcentral lists this long non-coding RNA (1494 nucleotides) under Gallus gallus (chicken). RNAcentral describes it as "lncRNA (ENSGALG00010019299.1)". Lineage: Eukaryota; Metazoa; Chordata; Aves; Galliformes; Phasianidae. The record is from RNAcentral.
AUUUCUCAGCUUGCCUGUGAGAGAGGAGGAGCUAAUCCUUCUAACGAUGAUUUUCCUCGUUCACCACUUGGUCUUGCUGGCCACAGACUUACUUUCUCGCAACGAUCCUUUCUUGCCUCCUUUAUGCCUUUGCAUUCGUUUCCAUUGCUGUUUUUACCUGCUUCAUUAUCUUCUGGUCCUUCGGCGUCGUGGAGAAGAACAUUGACAUAAAAGGGAGAGCAAUUGUAAUUCUCGUAUCCAACAGCUCAAUUGGGAGGACGUUUGCUAGGAACUUGGAUAAAGCAGGUUUUAGGGUGUCUGCUGCACACUGGCCUCCUCAAGAGGAGGGAACAACUGCGAAAGAAGAGUGCUCUUCAAGAAUGGAGGUAGCACAGCUCCACAUGACAGAUGAUGAGUACCAGAAGACAAUGAAAACCUUCAUAGAAAGCCACUUAUCCCUGAAAGGCACGUAUGGGCUGAUGAAGAAGCCAUCAAUCCUGAUAUGGGAAGAAGUGGAGCCAGACACGUGCAGGUUACCCGAGAGAAGAACCCCUCAUAAAUGGAAGAAGGUUUUCAGGGUUCCAGCAGGGAAGGAGACCCAUGGAGCAACACAAAUUAAUAUUCUAAUGUCACAAAAAGAAGACGCUACAGGAAGGAGCACAGCUGGGAUCUAAAAUGAGGGAGAACGAGUAGUGACUUCAGUCACAGGACAAUGAAAAACUGCAGAUGAAGACAGAAAGCAACUCCUGAACUGUGAGACAGGUCUCUAACCCACUUUCAAGUCUAAUGUGUAAGCAAGAGGACAAUGAUGUUUGGGGUUCUGUGUUACAAUGCUGCACUGCACACACUGGGAUACACACACACACACACACACACACACAGAAAGAAGGAAAAAAUGACAACAUGAGGUAAAAGAAAAUGAAGGAAUAAUUUCUCUGAGAAGAAAAAUGCAAGGGCUUAGGUUUCUUUAUCUGAAGCCGCAACUCAGAACUACCUGACUGAUGAUAAGAGAUGCCACCCACCCAGAAGCUGGAUCCAGAGAGAAAAGGGAAAGCUUUCAGAACUGCUUCUAGAAGGCAUUAAAUCAGCCUGCUAUCCAGCCAGAUUGGAAACAAAUAUUUUAAUUCCAAAACGUCACAGCACUGGGAGAGAAACCUGCUAAAGCAAAAAAAUUCUGAAUGAAAACCUUGUGGUUUUUAGUUUAUGUAUUUGACAAGCAACUCGUUAUACUAACAACACCAAUACCACAUAUUCUGCACAAUAUUCCAGAAAAGGUGUCCUUUAGCCAGAACCCAGUUUGAGCCCGGGCUCUCAACUCAGUGUGUCACUCCAUUCUGUGCAUGCUACCUUGUGCAAUUUCAGCUGAUAGCCAACAUUUUCUCGCCCAGACUAACACAGAGGACUUGUGUGGGGCACCACCUGCCUAUUGCUUUUCCCCCCUCAAAAGUGACCUUCACUCAAAGGCCAACACCUACUUGUGUACACAGCAGUCUCCGCUGCCUGAAUCUAGAGACA